UGGCUGGAGAGCUGAGUUGAUAAUGGCCU
This 29-nucleotide non-coding RNA is filed under the name Homo sapiens (human). The record is from RNAcentral. Lineage: Eukaryota; Metazoa; Chordata; Mammalia; Primates; Hominidae.